GUGUCAGCAGCCGCGGUAAGACAGAGGGCGCGAGCGUUGUUCGGAAUUACUGGGCGUAAAGCGCGUGCAGGCGGAUCUGUUUGUCCGUAAGUGAAAUCCCGCCGCUCAACGGCGGGGCUGCUUGGGAAACGGCAGGUCUAGGGACCGGUAGAGGUCGGUAGAAUUCCCGGUGUAGCGGUGGAAUGCGUAGAGAUCGGGAAGAAUACCCGUGGCGAAGGCGGCCGACUGGGCCGGGUCCGACGCUAAUACGCGAAAGCGUGGGGAGCAAACAGGAUUAGAAACCCCGGUAGUCC
Molecule: ribosomal RNA, 293 nt
Filed under: uncultured bacterium
Lineage: Bacteria
Description: partial 16S ribosomal RNA
Rfam family: Bacterial small subunit ribosomal RNA
Source: RNAcentral